Molecule: RNA transcript, 2835 nt
Organism: Ricinus communis (castor bean)
Lineage: Eukaryota; Viridiplantae; Streptophyta; Magnoliopsida; Malpighiales; Euphorbiaceae
Exons: 6
Source: RefSeq, a predicted model, not a curated record
GGACCACGACAGUAAUUUAUCCCGUGGCUGAGGAAAUGGGCUGAAAAUUGGAGCCUAAGCCCGUAACGGCAAACCACCGUUUUGAAGGUAAAAAAAUUAGAAAAUGACUAGAGAUGCAAAAACGGGACUAACCGGACGAUCUUUAAUCUUAUGAUUUAAAAAUCCCUGCAGAAAGCAAGCAAACACAACAAUGGCAUUCGAGAUGCCAUACGAUCAAAUAAAAGAACUACAGAUCUCACUACGUAAAGAAGCAGGACUUGCAUCUUACGACCCAGAAGACCCUUCGCUUCCAAACUUACCCUCGCUUCAAGAUGCAAUUUCCGAGCUUGAACCUUCUCCUUCAUAUCUUCGAUGCAAGAGCUGCAAUGGAAGAUUGCUUAGAGGGGUUAAUUCUGUCAUUUGUGUUUUUUGUGGUAGACAACAGAAUAAGGAUGUCCCUCCUGACCCAAUUAAGUUUACUUCUACAUUUGGUUGCCGUUGGUUUUUUCACUCUCUUGAUUUAGAUGGAUCGGAGCUUGCGACACCUUCGGCAGAAGCAAAUGAGUCUAACAGAGGACAGAAUACACCAGAAAUUCAUAUUCCUUUGUCUGAUCUUUUAAAUUUAGAAAUAAGAUGGCCUUCUGAGCCUGAGGAAUUCGAGACUAGUGCUUUGGAAAAGAAACCAAUUCAGAUGCUGAAUUUUUCUGGAAUUGAUAUUGACAAUUAUUUUACUGAAUCUAAGUUAGAUUCUGUUUCUACAUCCGCUGAAGGACAAUUUACAUUGAAACAACAUGAGGAUGCUGCUGAAAAUAAUGCCUUUCAAGGUCAUGAAAAUCUUAGCUUGUUUGAAAGUGUUGAGCCUUCUGAGACAGCUGCAAGGUCCAAGAAAGAUGAAAGUGGUGACUCAUUUUCUGGUUGGGAGGCUGAUUUUCAGUCCUCUGGUGCUAAAACCCAACAUCAGAAAUCCAAUUUUCCUGAUCCAUUUGUGGGAUCUUCUUCAGUUGAUCUUUCUUCUCACAUGGAUGCUCUCUUUGGACCUGGAAGUAAUUUAUCUAAUGAGAAAACAAAAGAAAAUGUAACUUCUGCAUCCAACAUGAAUGACUGGUUUGAACGUGAUACAUCGAGUAAUGCUAAUGCUGGGGUAGCUUUCCAGAAUGAUCAAUUUGAAGUACCCGUAAGUGAUAAUCGUGACGGAACAGUAGGGAACACAGGUAAUUCGUCUUCUAUGAAUGUUGAUUGGGUUCAAGAUAAUCAGUGGCAAACCUCCAGCAGCAGUAGGAAGGCAACUGAUAAUGAUGAAAAUGAUGAUUCAUUUGACACUUGGAAAGAUUUUACAAGCUCAAGUAAUGUACAAGUUCCUUCUAAUAAUUCCUUGAAAGGGGAUAUACACACAGUGCCUUCUGUUGAGCAGGGAUCAGAAAUAAGCUUCUUCAGUGGAGCUGAUAACUCAAAAGAUAUUGAUUUUGGUAGCUUUUCACAGCCUGAUUUCUUUUCAGCAACUUUCAGCAAUCAAAAUGGUUCUGCAGAAAUGAGUACUAUGGUGCCAGAAAGUUCUGUUUCAGAUAGGACGGUUACCAUGGAUGGAACAGAUGGAUGGUUUGCUGAAGAAGCUGAAAAUAGCAAAAAUCUUUCUACUGGAAAUACAAAGUCAAAAGCCAGUGAUGUAGAGACUUUGAUGUCACAGAUGCAUGAUCUCUCCUUUAUGCUUGCAAGCGAUCUUUCAGUACCUCAAAAGAAAGAUCCACAAACAAUCAAUCCUUUUGGUAAUUAUAUAAUGGAUGAGGCGGCUUGUCUUUAUAUCUGGGUUUUCUUCACAGAAAAUUUGUCUUCCAAUUUGUGAUUGAAGAUCUGAUAACAAAAACUACUGCAGCUGUACUGUUGUGAUCUAGGCCCCCCUGCUGCUCUAAUGAACACCCUGUGCCCGAUCGUCUGUACUGUUGUGAUAUAGGCUCCCCUGCUGCUUCAGUGUUGGAAAAUAUCUGCUAUAAGUGCUGCAUCGUUUGUUCAUCAUCCUGGAAAGGAAAAUCACAGGAAACAAGAAAACAUUUCAGACUUGAUAAUGAAGUUGAUAGCUCGUGGAUCGUCAUCCUGCAGAAAAAGGAAAGAGAACUCGCGGAUGAAACUAUGAAAUUUUGGUAAUAAAACUAUGAAGUAAAAGAUUGCUAAAAGGGCAGCAAUGAGGUUGUCUAUACAUAAUACAAUCACACUUCUGAAAGCUUUAAUGUUCUCAAUUAGAAUGUAUGUUUGUUUUAACUCAAAAGUUAGAAUUAGUAAGCGUGAACCAGAAGUACCUUCACUAGAGCUGCAAUUACCCUCAAGCUGCUAAUUCUUACAUCACCAUGAUGCCUUUCCUCUGAUUUGACAUCAAGAAUGGGUUGGAGAUAUAAGGGCAUGUUAGCUGCAGAGGUUAAAUUUCUAUCAUAAAAAGUCUCCGCUAAUUCAAAUUAUCAACAUUGACAGGGAUAAACUUCGUUGCUCUUUUUACUGGCAGUCACUAUUUUGAAAGAUUAGAAUGAAAAGGAUUAUCACCUCUAACAAAAGGCAUCCUUGUGUCAGGGUGUGCUGCUAUCCACUGCAAAAAAAAAAAAGAAAAAAAGAAAAAGAGAAAAAUAGAAGACCCACAUCAGUUUCGUAUGCAGCAUACCAAAUUUAACCUAAGGGUGUUAUUCAGAUACAAACAGAUGAAAGAAAUUCUACCAAGUCUACCAAUGGCAUUAUUCUGCGAUGUUUACAAGAGUACUAGCUAAUGGGAGAGAUAUAUGCAUAGCAACUGUGGCAAUAUAUAUAUAUAUAUAUAUAAGAAGAAAAUUGAGAGGAAAAAGAAAAAAGAAACUGACCUCAAGUAAGUACAUUGCC